AUUGAACGCUGGCGGCAGGCCUAACACAUGCAAGUCGAACGAGUGGCGGACGGGUGAGUAAUGUCUGGGAAACUGCCUGAUGGAGGGGGAUAACUACUGGAACCGGUAGCUAAUACCGCCUACCAUCGGAUGUGCCCAGAUGGGAUUAGCUAGUAGGUGGGGUAAAGGCUCACCAAGGCGACGAUCCCUAGCUGGUCUGAGCGGAGGACCAGCAACACGGGAACUGAGACACGGUCCAAACUCCUACGGGAGGCAGCAGUGGGGAAUAUGGGACAAUGGGCGAAAGCCUGAUGAAGCCAUGCCGGGUGUAUGAAGAAGGCCUUCGGGUUGUAAAGUACUUUCAGAGGGGAGGCGUUACCCGCAGAAGAAGCACCGGCUAACUACGUGCCAGCAGCCGCGGUAAUUC
This 406-nucleotide ribosomal RNA is filed under the name uncultured bacterium. RNAcentral describes it as "partial 16S ribosomal RNA". It matches the Rfam family "Bacterial small subunit ribosomal RNA", at positions 29 to 526 of the family's 1533-position model. The record is from RNAcentral.